Molecule: ribosomal RNA, 429 nt
Filed under: Pseudomonadota bacterium
Lineage: Bacteria; Pseudomonadati; Pseudomonadota
Description: Proteobacteria bacterium partial 16S ribosomal RNA
Rfam family: Bacterial small subunit ribosomal RNA
Source: RNAcentral
UGGGGAAUAUUGGACAAUGGGCGAAAGCCUGAUCCAGCCAUGCCGCGUGUGUGAAGAAGGUCUUCGGAUUGUAAAGCACUUUAAGUUGGGAGGAAGGGCAGUAAGCGAAUACCUUGCUGUUUUGACGUUACCGACAGAAUAAGCACCGGCUAACUCUGUGCCAGCAGCCGCGGUAAUACAGAGGGUGCAAGCGUUAAUCGGAAUUACUGGGCGUAAAGCGCGCGUAGGUGGUUCGUUAAGUUGAAUGUGAAAGCCCCGGGCCCAACCUGGGAACGGCACCCAAAACCGGCGAGGUAGGAUAGGGCAGGGGGUGGUGGAAGUGCCUGGGUGGCGGUGAAAGGCUUAGAUAAAGGAGGGGAAACCAGAGGCGAAGGCGACCACCUGGGGUAAUACUGGCACUGAGGUGCGAAAGGGUGGGGAGCAAACAGG